UGGGGAAUAUUGCACAAUGGGCGCAAGCCCGAUGCAGCCAUGCCGCGUGUGUGAAGAAGGCCUUCGGGUUGUAAAGCACUUUCAGCGAGGAGGAAGGUGGUGAGCUUAAUACGCUCAUCAAUUGACGUUACUCGCAGAAGAAGCACCGGCUAACUCCGUGCCAGCAGCCGCGGUAAUACGGAGGGUGCAAGCGUUAAUCGGAAUUACUGGGCGUAAAGCGCACGCAGGCGGUUCGUUAAGUCAGAUGUGAAAUCCCCGGGCUCAACCUGGGAACUGCAUUUGAAACUGGCAAGCUAGAGUCUCGUAGAGGGGGGUAGAAUUCCAGGUGUAGCGGUGAAAUGCGUAGAGAUCUGGAGGAAUACCGGUGGCGAAGGCGGCCCCCUGGACGAAGACUGACGCUCAGGUGCGAAAGCGUGGGGAGCAAACAGAUUAGAUACCCUGGUAGUCCACGCUGUAAACGAUGUCGAUUUUGGAGGUUGUGCCCUUGAGGCGUGGCUUCCGGAGCUAACGCGUUAAAUCGACCGCCUGGGGAGUACGGCCGCAAGGUU
RNAcentral lists this ribosomal RNA (548 nucleotides) under uncultured bacterium. RNAcentral describes it as "partial 16S ribosomal RNA". It matches the Rfam family "Bacterial small subunit ribosomal RNA", at positions 355 to 895 of the family's 1533-position model. The record is from RNAcentral.